GAUGUAGUAUUGAGUGAGCCCCAUUUUCACCCUUUCGCGCCCCUUCUCCAUGAGAACAACACUAAGCAUCUUCUUCAACACCAAAACUGCGCACGCCCCGCCAUUGUCGUAUAAGCUUAAGCCCUAUCUUGUUUCGUUUGUUUGGUGACCAGCGCUAGUCGUUUCCCCCCCGAAGAAGUGUCUUUGGAAGCAUCAUCGUCUUCUGCAAAAGCUUCAGCGCCAUUGUUGAAACUGUGCGCGCAAGGAACCCUAAAUCGUUUAAGGUUUGGAAUGCGGUUACUGUGACUUCAAUGCCCUUAAUCUACUCAUCACUUGUCCCUCUAUUCUGAUUGUUCGUGCACUGAAGAUGUGAAGCCAUUGGUGCCAUAUUGUCAGCAACGGACUCAGUUUGUACAUUGCAGUUUGCUACAAUGGCUUGACUUCAGCAACAUCGAUACUAUUACAGCCUUGAAAUUGUUGGGGACUUUCCUUUACCUCUUCUGCACUAGUACUGGCGUUGGCAUACUAGUUGGCCUUUUGAGUGCUUAUAUUAUUAAAACACUUUACCUUGGAAGGCAUUCUACUGAUCGUGAAGUUGCACUUAUGAUGUUGAUGGCAUAUUUGUCAUAUAUCAUUGCUGAGGCCAGAAUUUGAACUACCAAGAAACUUUCACCCUUGUUCUUGCAGAUCAAGAUUCUGUUCGGCUACUUGCAGUUGAGGAUUGUGCAGCUCUUGGAAAACUGUUGGAACCUCAAGAUUGUGUGGCACUAGGUAACUUUUUCUUACCUGCUAAAUGAUUGGUUGGUUAUCAUGAUUUUCUGACACACUUUUUUUCCAUUGGUGCUAUUGGAAAAUUUGUUUUUGUUGGUAUUAAUCACUACAUUCUUGUGUUGGUAAAAAAACUCAUGGUUCAUGAUUGAAUGUAUAAAAGUUAUGACUGCAUAUUAAUUUCUUCAGCCUAAACAAAAAGCCUAAAACAGUCAACACUUAAUUGACCACUGAUUUUGAAACCUGUACAGCCUAAAAACCAAAAGAGGAUAAUUUAUAGGGUAAACUUAAAAAAUAUUCAAACUGGAACUUGUGAACUUGCUUGUAAUAUCAUCAUGCAUCAUAAAAAUAUAUAGUGUAUGGUAGUUGACGUUGCUCUUAUAGCAGUGUCACCUCACCUAAAAGAGCCUGGCUGCUAAGGUAUGUCACCAUGUAAUGAUUUUGUGAAGCAGCCCAAUAGAAGCUUUCAUUAAAUUUCUCCCUUUAUUCAUAGUCCAUCUUGGCAAAGCUAAUAACUCUUUCUGGGUAAUGUCUAGCUUUGAAUGCUAAUGGACUGACUCAUAAUUUCCCUUUUAUCCUGUUCUGUUGCUUCAUCAACUGUGUAGUU
This is a non-coding RNA of Cajanus cajan (pigeon pea), 1354 nucleotides long. The record is from RefSeq and is a predicted model, not a curated record. NCBI's taxonomy places the organism in Eukaryota, Viridiplantae, Streptophyta, Magnoliopsida, Fabales, Fabaceae.